This 558-nucleotide small RNA is filed under the name Pongo abelii (Sumatran orangutan). Its description in RNAcentral is "processed transcript". Lineage: Eukaryota; Metazoa; Chordata; Mammalia; Primates; Hominidae. The record is from RNAcentral.
AUUUUUCAAAUGAAUCAAAACAUCUUUGAUUGCUAACUCACAACAUCACUAGGACAUCACUUUCCCACGUCAAUGGAAUCAAAUAAUCGAAUGUGAUGUUGAAACAGAUACCUAAGGAAGUAACUCAUCAUGCUAUGAUUUUUAGUUUUCUUUUAGGUAGUCCACUGGUUCUUAUAUAAUAUAAAUCCUUGGUACACUAGCUUCUGCAUGUCCUAUACUGUGUUAACUUAUCUUGCACAGAGAAGCUACCUCCUCCGUAAUCUACUGGGCAGAGGAAAUGAACCUGGGAAAUGCGCUUGACUCUAAUGAUAUAUUUUCUAUUGACUCAGCUGUCCAACACCAGGAUGUGAUGGAAGUGGCCACGUGACAGGAAACUAUGCAUCUCAUCGCAGUGUUUCUGGAUGUCCUUUAGCAGAUAAGACUCUAAAAUCCCUCAUGGCUGCCAACUCUCAGGAGCUUAAGUGUCCAACCCCAGGCUGCGAUGGCUCGGGGCACGUGACUGGAAACUACGCUUCCCACAGAAGCUUGUCCGGAUGCCCUCGUGCAAGGAAAGGUGGU